This is a long non-coding RNA of Gambusia affinis (western mosquitofish), 417 nucleotides long. RefSeq lists it as uncharacterized. The transcript has 3 exons. The record is from RefSeq and is a predicted model, not a curated record. NCBI's taxonomy places the organism in Eukaryota, Metazoa, Chordata, Actinopteri, Cyprinodontiformes, Poeciliidae.
GCGGAAAAACACGUCAACGGCGCCGGACGUCGACCUCUCAUCCGCACCGGCAAAGGUUGAACAGACCACGUGACCGACGGGCACCGGACGAUCGGUCCGGCCAGCCAUAUUGUACGUGAGGGCAUUCAACCAACCUUUGCGACAGGGCUCGCCGCACCGUUUUCAACGUACCACAUCUUUAAUGUACAAUACGAAGAAGAGGCUGCAGGUACACUCGAAUUCAUCCGGAGGCGCUUUCUUGAGAUCAACCCCGAAAGAGGGACCAAGGCCAGCCGCGGCGAGACCGUCUCCAAGAGGACAGGAAAAACCGUUCGAAGGAAGUCGGUCACCGUCAACCCCCGUGUUUCAACUCUGCUAAAAAACCUCACAGACUUUGAGUGGAAUGUCACAUCGUUCAGUGAGAACUUUUUAACCAGG